UUGUGGUUACGUUUGUGCCUUCUGUCCAUUCAGAGUUUGCGAUGUGCACGUGGACUAUGUUCUCCUGCUUUUUAAUUGUUUUUUGUGGAAAUUUGUGAUAUUUGAAUAAAAUAAGAUGUCUAAAAGAAAUAUUUUGGAUUUGGACAAAAUGGAUGAUUAGGAAUUUGAGGCCAUGAUGACAGGAAUCGAUGAUAGUCAGGCUGAAGAUUCUGAUAUUGGUGGUGAUUCGGAUCCUGAGGACAAUCUUCCUUUGAAUCCCGUUAGCUUACUUUUCAUGUGAAUUAGUUAUGUAAGAAUUGUAUUUGUGUACUAGAGAGAGACUGAAAACUUUAUUCCACUCUGAAGACAAAUUCAAAGACUGCCUAAUGCAAAAAGGUUGUUGAUUUUGCAUGUAUUAUACUAGAAAUAGUAAAUAUAAUAAUUUGAUUUCCUAAAUAA
This is a long non-coding RNA of Colias croceus (clouded yellow), 438 nucleotides long. RefSeq lists it as uncharacterized. The transcript is spliced from 2 exons. The record is from RefSeq and is a predicted model, not a curated record. NCBI's taxonomy places the organism in Eukaryota, Metazoa, Arthropoda, Insecta, Lepidoptera, Pieridae.